This 326-nucleotide long non-coding RNA is filed under the name Olea europaea (common olive). Its description in RNAcentral is "long non-coding RNA (OEUR_LNC015405)". The record is from RNAcentral. Lineage: Eukaryota; Viridiplantae; Streptophyta; Magnoliopsida; Lamiales; Oleaceae.
GGGGGCAAGUCCAGACAUCUCGCCUUGCUCCAUCUGAUCAUCCUGCUGCUUCUUCAGAGGAAGAUUUGAAGUUCCUCAAGGAUUCGAUACUUGAGUACGUAUCCUUCAUGGAUAUGGAUAUUGGAAGGGCCAGUGCCGCCAGACACAAGGAUACACUUGAGCACUUGAGUGCGAAGUUGGAGCAAGCAUUGACGCUUCCGUCGCUCAAUCUUUCUGCCGAUUUUAAAGCGACGUUGAAGGUUAUCCACUCCGAGGUCCUUUCUUUGCUGGCCAAGAAUGCUGAACUAAAGGCCAAACGUACUCAAUAUCUUCGAGCCGUAGCUGAG